Molecule: long non-coding RNA, 230 nt
Organism: Cydia amplana
Lineage: Eukaryota; Metazoa; Arthropoda; Insecta; Lepidoptera; Tortricidae
Exons: 3
Source: RefSeq, a predicted model, not a curated record
GCAGUCUAAGUGACAAGAAGAAAAUGCGGUUUCAACUAUUUUUCCUAUUCAUUUUCCUGAUCGGGGCCUUCGCAAUGCCGAUGCCGGCCGACGAUGAGGCUAGGAAUGCUCAGACACCUGACAUUGAUAUCACAAAGAUGACUCUUAAACCAUUAGCUCGUAGCGCCGAAGAUUUAAGUAAAGCGGCUAAAGAUUCCGUAAAGAAGGGAGUAAGGAAAUACAGAUUUAUU